RNAcentral lists this ribosomal RNA (497 nucleotides) under uncultured bacterium. RNAcentral's name for it is "partial 16S ribosomal RNA". It matches the Rfam family "Bacterial small subunit ribosomal RNA", at positions 28 to 507 of the family's 1533-position model. The record is from RNAcentral.
GAUGAACGCUGGCGGCGUGCCUAAUACAUGCAAGUCGAGCGAACAGACGAGGAGCUUGCUCCUCUGACGUUAGCGGCGGACGGGUGAGUAACACGUGGAUAACCUACCUAUAAGACUGGGAUAACUUCGGGAAACCGGAGCUAAUACCGGAUAAUAUAUUGAACCGCAUGGUUCAAUAGUGAAAGACGGUUUUGCUGUCACUUAUAGCUGGAUCCGCGCCGCAUUAGCUAGUUGGUAAGGUAACGGCUUACCAAGGCAACGAGGCGUAGCCGACCUGAGAGGGUGAUCGGCCACACUGGAACUGAGACACGGUCCAGACUCCUACGGGAGGCAGCAGUAGGGAAUCUUCCGCAAUGGGCGAAAGCCUGACGGAGCAACGCCGCGUGAGUGAUGAAGGUCUUCGGAUCGUAAAACUCUGUUAUUAGGGAAGAACAAAUGUGUAAGUAACUAUGCACGUCUUGACGGUACCUAAUCAGAAAGCCACGGCUAACUACGUG